UACGGGGGGUGCGAGCGUUGUCCGGAUUUAUUGGGUUUAAAGGGUGCGUAGGUGGCUUGAUAAGUCAGUGGUGAAAUACAGCCGCUCAACGGUUGAGGUGCCAUUGAUACUGUCAAGCUUGAAAGAAUUGGAGGCUGCCGGAAUGGAUGGUGUAGCGGUGAAAUGCAUAGAUAUCAUCCAGAACACCGAUUGCGAAGGCAGGUGGCUACGAUUGAUUUGACACUGAGGCACGAAAGCAUGGGGAGCAAACAGG
RNAcentral lists this ribosomal RNA (253 nucleotides) under uncultured bacterium. RNAcentral's name for it is "partial 16S ribosomal RNA". It matches the Rfam family "Bacterial small subunit ribosomal RNA", at positions 524 to 776 of the family's 1533-position model. The record is from RNAcentral.